Molecule: ribosomal RNA, 468 nt
Filed under: uncultured bacterium
Lineage: Bacteria
Description: partial 16S ribosomal RNA
Rfam family: Bacterial small subunit ribosomal RNA
Source: RNAcentral
GACGAACGCUGGCGGCGUGCUUAACACAUGCAAGUCGAACGGAAAGGCCCUGCUUUUGUUGGGUGCUCGAGUGGCGAACGGGUGAGUAACACGUGAGUAACCUGCCCUUGACUUUGGGAUAACUUCAGGAAACUGGGGCUAAUACCGGAUAUGAUCUCCUGCUGCAUGGUGUGGGUUGGAAAGUUUCGGCGGUUGGGGAUGGACUCGCGGCUUAUCAGCUUGUUUGGGGGGUAGUGGCUUACCAAGGCUUUGACGGGUAGCCGGCCUGAGAGGGUGACCGGCGACAUUGGGACUGAGAGACGGCCCAGACUCCUACGGGAGGCAGCAGUGGGGAAUAUUGCACAAUGGGCGGAAGCCUGAUGCAGCAACGCCGCGUGCGGGAUGACGGCCUUCGGGUUGUAAACCGCUUUCGCCUGUGACGAAGCGUGAGUGACGGUAAUGGGUAAAGAAGCACCGGCUAACUACGUG